GAUGAACGCUAGCGGCAGGCUUAAUACAUGCAAGUCGUGGGGCAGCAUGAGUGUAGCAAUACAUUUGAUGGCGACCAGCAAACGGGUGCGGAACACGUACACAACCUUCCUUCAAGUGGGGAAUAGCCCAGGGAAACUUGGAUUAAUACCCCGUAAUAUUAUGGAGUGGCAUCACUUUAUAAUUAUAGCUCCGGCGCUUGAUGAUGGGUGUGCGCCNGAUUAGGUAGUUGGCGGGGUAACGGCCCACCAAGCCUUCCGAUCAGUAACUGGUGGUGAGAGCACGACCAGUCACACGGGCACUGAGACA
This 307-nucleotide ribosomal RNA is filed under the name uncultured bacterium. Its description in RNAcentral is "bacterial SSU rRNA". It matches the Rfam family "Bacterial small subunit ribosomal RNA", at positions 28 to 326 of the family's 1533-position model. The record is from RNAcentral.